AAAAAACACGUCUUAAACAACAAUAGAGACAUGAGGUUGAAUAAAGAUACAGUUCAUGCAUGUAACCCUAACCCUUAAACACAAAGUAACUCAGAGAGUAUACAUAAUUCUGGAGAAGUAUGGUGUACAGCGUACACUGUAGUCUGUAGCCCACAGCAGUAUUAGGUUAUUAUGCUGAAACAAAUGAGUGUGCUGUGUGUGCAACAGCAUGACAAACAUUACCUGUCCUUUUAGCUGCUAGCUAACUGGGUAAGGCUGUCAGGGGUCUGUAGCUCUGUCACUGUUUUAGGGAACAUAUUUAGUUUUAAAGUAAGUUACAGGGCUUUCCCUGCCUUUCUAAAAACUAUCUGAUAUGCAUGUCCACAUAAUUAUGGAUUAUUAUAGUUGUGAUAUUUAAACACACACACACACACACACACACACACACACACACACACACACACACACACAUGUAUAAAAUGUUGCUUCUCCAGAAUACUGGAUAUACUUUGGCCACAAGUUUGCAUCAUGGUGCUGAUCCAGAAUCCUUCCCUUAUUAUUUAUUCCUAGUGCUUUAAUAAUAAAGUAAUGAGAAUUUUAAAAAAUAUAUAAUAAGUAGUAAAUAUAAAAUAAUGUAUUGAUCAGGAUUCAGUUUGUUUGACUAUCCACUCUGUGCAGACAGAAAUUUUAUUUAAUGUUUAAACUGCAGAGAUACAAUAAUGUUACUGCUUGAAAGUCAGCAUUUUGUCAUAUUUGAAAAUUUAAAUCUAAAUUAUUCUGUUUCUUAAUGUAUUUUCUUUAAAAUACACUGUGUGUGUGUGUGUGUGUGUGUGUGUGUGUGUGUGUGACUGAGAGAGAGAGAGAGGAGUGAGUUAAGGUGAUGUAGGGAGUGAUUUAUGUGUAUAGAUGUUUUUGUUACAGUUUUACCCUACCAUGACCGUCCCCUUCUUUUGCCCUACUAUUAUUCCGAUUUCAGUUUAUUUCCCACAGUGUUUUUAAACUGUUGCCUUAUGAUUCCAAGCGCUGUCACUAAUCUUUGCAUUUCAUUAUUAUCUAAUAACACUUGUUUAAUCAGCUACCAUCUCUCUUAUGGAAUUUUUAAUGUCUGCAGCCUCAGAUCAGCACAGCCCCGCCCUCCAGCUCUAUCAGCAGCAACAUUGUUCCCAUCAGGUGAAACAAAGUAUGUUUGCUCUACAUUGUCCCCGCCUGAUGACAGUGAUAUAGUUUGAUGUGAUUCCAUAUUAGAUUCUUGAUGAAUGUGUGUUGUUGUUGUUCAGCCUGGUUCUAUGUGCCCCUUUUUAACUUUGAGCACCCGCCCUGUCACAGCCCUUUCCUUUGUUUGACUUAAUCACGUGAAAAAUAAAAAGUCCAAGAGUGUACAACACACUGCUUCCUCUUUUUUUCUUCCUUUUUUCUAGCAAAUCAGCAUCCUUUGCUGUAAACAGUUCUAUAACAGCUUUUAGCGGCACAAGACAAAAUGCUGACAGACCCAUGUGGUUCCAUGUGCUUGUAGGUACUCAGACUAAUGCAGCAAACAGCUGAGGUGUGAAAGGUGUUGUACUGAUACUGUACUGAUGUAGUGAUGAAAACUGCAGAGCAUCUUGUUUCCCUGAGAUGACACCUUGUGUAAGCUCUCACAGGGCGUAACCCUGCUGUCUAAUCUAGAGCAGUGGAGGCGUGUUCUUUAUAGAGACGAAUCACACUUCUCCAUCUGCCAAUCCGACGGAUGAGUCUGGAUUCGGUGGCUCCACACUGGGUGAGACGAUCUGUUCUUGCAGAAUAUCAGCACCGACACUGAUAACAGGAUGAUGAUGACAGCCAGAGUCAGACCCACAAACAGCACCACAUCUGCAGCAGUUUGACAAGAACAACAAGUUUAUUUUAGACAAACACCUCCUGAAGAUCUUCCACAUCUUAGAAGAAGGAAAGUAGCACUCAAUUGUGAUGCUUUGUCCAGCGAUUCGAUAAAAAUGCGUCUGUGCACUGGUGACUUCUGUGUGUCCAUCCUGCAGAGCUGCUGGAAACAUGAACCAU
Molecule: long non-coding RNA, 2013 nt
Organism: Oreochromis aureus
Lineage: Eukaryota; Metazoa; Chordata; Actinopteri; Cichliformes; Cichlidae
Exons: 3
Source: RefSeq, a predicted model, not a curated record